CGCGUAGGCGGGCAAGCAAGUCCGGGGUGAAAUCUUUCGGCUCAACCGGAAAAGUGCCUUGGAUACUGCUUGUCUGGAGGGAGGUAGGGGCAUGCGGAACUUCUGGUGGAGCGGUGAAAUGCGUUGAUAUCAGAAGGAGCGCCGGUGGCGAAAGCGGCGUGCUGGACCUCUUCUGACGCUGAGGCGCGAAAGCUAGGGGAGCAAACG
RNAcentral lists this ribosomal RNA (207 nucleotides) under uncultured bacterium. RNAcentral's name for it is "partial 16S ribosomal RNA". It matches the Rfam family "Bacterial small subunit ribosomal RNA", at positions 568 to 774 of the family's 1533-position model. The record is from RNAcentral.